Molecule: ribosomal RNA, 465 nt
Filed under: uncultured bacterium
Lineage: Bacteria
Description: partial 16S ribosomal RNA
Rfam family: Bacterial small subunit ribosomal RNA
Source: RNAcentral
CUACGGGUUGCAGCAGUGGGGAAUAUUGCACAAUGGGCGCAAGCCUGAUGCAGCCAUGCCGCGUGUAUGAAGAAGGCCUUCGGGUUGUAAAGUACUUUCAGCGGGGAGGAAGGGAGUAAAGUUAAUACCUUUGCUCAUUGACGUUACCCGCAGAAGAAGCACCGGCUAACUCCGUGCCAGCGAGCCGCGGUAAUACGGAGGGUGCAAGCGUUAAUCGGAAUUACUGGGCGUAAAGCGCACGCAGGCGGUGUGUUAAGUCAGAUGUGAAAUCCCCGGGCUCAACCUGGGAACUGCAUCUGAUACUGGCAAGCUUGAGUCUCGUAGAGGGGGGUAGAAUUCCAGGUGUAGCGGUGAAAUGCGUAGAGAUCUGGAGGAAUACCGGUGGCGAAGGCGGCCCCCUGGACGAAGACUGACGCUCAGGUGCGAAAGCGUGGGGAGCAAACAGGAUUAGAUACCCCCGUAGUC